UACAGAGGGCCCGAGCGUUGUUCGGAUUCAUUGGGCGUAAAGGGUGCGUAGGCGGUCUUCUAAGUUUGAUGUGAAAUCCCGGGGCUCAACCCUGGAAUUGCAUUGAAUACUGGAGGACUAGAGUACCGGAGAGGAAACUGGAAUUUACGGUGUAGCAGUGAAAUGCGUAGAGAUCGUAAGGAAGACCAGUGGCGAAGGCGAGUUUCUGGACGGUAACUGACGCUGAGGCACGAAGGCCAGGGGAGCAAACGGG
Molecule: ribosomal RNA, 253 nt
Filed under: uncultured bacterium
Lineage: Bacteria
Description: partial 16S ribosomal RNA
Rfam family: Bacterial small subunit ribosomal RNA
Source: RNAcentral